RNAcentral lists this ribosomal RNA (495 nucleotides) under uncultured bacterium. RNAcentral describes it as "partial 16S ribosomal RNA". It matches the Rfam family "Bacterial small subunit ribosomal RNA", at positions 28 to 507 of the family's 1533-position model. The record is from RNAcentral.
GAUGAACGCUGGCGGCGUGCCUAAUACAUGCAAGUAGAACGCUGAAGGAGGAGCUUGCUCUUCUGGAUGAGUUGCGAACGGGUGAGUAACGCGUAGGUAACCUGCCUGGUAGCGGGGGAUAACUAUUGGAAACGAUAGCUAAUACCGCAUGACAACAGUUAUUGCAUGAUAACUGUUUAAAAGGGGCAACUGCUCCACUACCAGAUGGACCUGCGUUGUAUUAGCUAGUUGGUGAGGUAACGGCUCACCAAGGCGACGAUACAUAGCCGACCUCAGAGGGGGCUCGGCCACGCUGGGACUGGGACACGGCCCAGCCUCCUACGGGAGGCAGCAGUAGGGAAUCUUCGGCGAUGGACGGAAGUCUGACCGAGCAACGCCGCGUGAGUGCAGAAGGUUGUCGGAUCGUAAAGCUCUGUUGUAAGAGAAGAACGAGUGUGAGAGUGGAAAGUUCACACUGUGACGGUAUCUUACCAGAAAGGUACGGCUAACUACGUG